This 282-nucleotide long non-coding RNA is filed under the name Mytilus galloprovincialis (Mediterranean mussel). The record is from RNAcentral. Lineage: Eukaryota; Metazoa; Mollusca; Bivalvia; Mytilida; Mytilidae.
CAGCAUCGUUUAUAUUUGUAAAGGCCAUAAUUCUAGAAUGGUAAAAGUGACACCAUCAAAAUUUACACUUGAUCUGUGUUUUGUGGUAAUAAGCAUGGUGUAUAAGUGUCAUAACAUUUGGUUGAGGCAAACUUAUUAAGUUAGAAAACGUAAACAAAACAUUCAGCAUUUUUUCCAUUUCUUAAGGACAUAACUCUAAGAAUGGUAAUAGUGACGACACCAAAAUUUUAACUUGAUCUGUAUUUUGGGGUAAUAAGCAUUGUAUAAAACUUUUAUAAUAUU